CCUACGGGAGGCAGCAGUGGGGAAUAUUGCGCAAUGGACGAAAGUCUGACGCAGCAACGCCGCGUGAGGGAUGACGGCCUUCGGGUUGUAAACCUCUUUUGUCAGGGAAGAUGAUGACGGUACCUGGCGAAUAAGCCACGGCUAACUACGUGCCAGCAGCCGCGGUAAU
Molecule: ribosomal RNA, 169 nt
Filed under: uncultured bacterium
Lineage: Bacteria
Description: partial 16S ribosomal RNA
Rfam family: Bacterial small subunit ribosomal RNA
Source: RNAcentral